This 468-nucleotide ribosomal RNA is filed under the name uncultured bacterium. Its description in RNAcentral is "partial 16S ribosomal RNA". It matches the Rfam family "Bacterial small subunit ribosomal RNA", at positions 28 to 507 of the family's 1533-position model. The record is from RNAcentral.
GACGAACGCUGGCGGCGUGCUUAACACAUGCCAGUCGAACGGAAAGGCCCUGCUUUUGUGGGGUGCUCGAGUGGCGAACGGGUGAGUAACACGUGAGUAACCUGCCCUUGACUUUGGGAUAACUUCAGGCAACUGGGGCUACUACCGGCUAGGAGCUCCUGCUGCAUGGUGGGGGUCGGACAGUUUCGGCGGUUGGGGAUGGACUCGCGGCUUAUCAGCUUGUUGGUGGGGUAGUGGCUUACCAAGGCUUUGACGGGUAGCCGGCCUGGGAGGGUGACCGGCCACAUUGGGACUGAGAUACGGCCCAGACUCCUACGGGAGGCAGCAGUGGGGAAUAUUGCACAAUGGGCGGAAGCCUGAUGCAGCAACGCCGCGUGCGGGAUGACGGCCUUCGGGUUGUAAACCGCUUUCGCCUGUGACGAAGCGGGAGUGACGGUAAUGGGUAAAGAAGCACCGGCUAACUACGUG